GGGGACCAGAGAGGUUAAGUUACUUGCCCAGGAUCACACAGCAGAGUCACUCCAGUUCCCAUGGCCUUGCUUGAACAUAUAUUUAUAAGUGGUUCUGAAGAGCUGAGUGAUACUUAUGCAAUUCUGCCCUUCCUGGCCAAUGACAGUGUUUUCCUCAUUUCAGGGGAUCCCAACAAGCCCUCAGGAUUCAGAAGUGUUAAAGCUCCUGUCACUAAAGUGGCUGCGUCGAUUGGAAAUGCUCAGAAGUUGCCUAUGUGUGACAAAUGUGGCACUGGGAUUGUCGGUGUGUUCGUGAAGCUGCGGGACCGUCACCGCCACCCUGAGUGUUAUGUGUGCACUGACUGUGGCACCAACCUGAAACAGAAGGGCCAUUUCUUUGUGGAGGAUCAAAUCUACUGUGAGAAGCAUGCCCGGGAGCGAGUCACACCACCUGAGGGCUAUGAAGUGGUCACU
This 453-nucleotide small RNA is filed under the name Pongo abelii (Sumatran orangutan). Its description in RNAcentral is "processed transcript". Lineage: Eukaryota; Metazoa; Chordata; Mammalia; Primates; Hominidae. The record is from RNAcentral.